AUGGGGGGAACCCUGAUGCAGCAACGCCGCGUGAGUGAAGAAGGCAUUCGUGUCGUAAAACUCUGUAGUAGGGGAAGAAAGAAAUGACAGUACCCUAAAAGAAAGCCCCGGCUAACUACGUACCAGCAGCCGCGGUAAUACGUAGGGGGCAAGCGUUAUCCGGAAUAACUGGGCGUAAAGGGUGCGCAGGUGGUUUAACAAGUUAGUGGUGAAAGGCAUAGGCUCAACCAAUGUAAGCCAUUAAAACUGUUUAACUUGAGUGCAGGAGAGGAAAGUGGAAUUCCUAGUGUAGCGGUGAAAUGCGUAGAUAUUAGGAGGAAUACCAGUGGCGAAGGCGACUUUCUGGACUGCAACUGACACUGAGGCACGAAAGCGUGGGGAGCAAACAGGAUUAGAUACCCUGGUAGUCCACGCCGUAAACGAUGAGUACUAGGUGUCGGGUGAAGAACUCGGUGCCGAAGUUAACACAUUAAGUACUCCGCCUGGGGAGUACGCUCGCAAGAGUAAACUCAAGGAAUUGACGGGGACCGCACAGCAGCGGAGCAUGUGGUUUAUCGAGCACGCCAGAACCUUACUAACUGACUACAUGACGCCUUAUCAGACUUACUCGGUACAAUGAU
RNAcentral lists this ribosomal RNA (620 nucleotides) under Filifactor alocis. RNAcentral describes it as "bacterial SSU rRNA". It matches the Rfam family "Bacterial small subunit ribosomal RNA", at positions 371 to 1023 of the family's 1533-position model. The record is from RNAcentral. Lineage: Bacteria; Bacillati; Bacillota; Clostridia; Peptostreptococcales; Filifactoraceae.